Long non-coding RNA from Oncorhynchus masou masou (cherry salmon), 3966 nucleotides. RefSeq lists it as uncharacterized. NCBI's taxonomy places the organism in Eukaryota, Metazoa, Chordata, Actinopteri, Salmoniformes, Salmonidae. The record is from RefSeq and is a predicted model, not a curated record. The transcript is spliced from 3 exons.
CUGACGUAUUCUCAUCCCAACAAACAAAUUAUUUCAGGUAGAUAGGAAAUUCGUUUAAAUGUGUUUUACAUUUUCAGUUUGAACUUUAAUGAGUUAUUUAAAUAACGCAUGUCUCAGACAAACUCUUGAGUGUUUGUUAUCCUAGCUUGUAAGCUAGCUAACGUUGCACUAGCCAUUGUCUUGGGUUGGAAAGUGACGGCAGCUCAAUAGCCCACCAUGUCUGAACCGGGUUCUGGCUGUGGCGUUCCAGUCGGGAGAAGCUCACAGCCUGGUCCAGAGACGGUGUCAGUGAAGCUGGAGGACUGCGGUCAAACACUGGAACUCAAUGUGAUUGUCAAAAAGGAGGAGAAGGGAGAUGUUAAAGAAGAAAAGAGCGGAAAUCAAAGAAGAAAAGAGCGGAAAUCAAAGAAGAUAAGGAAGAGGGGGAGAAGAGAGAGGUCCAAGUCGAAGAGGAGAGAAAUGCUGAUGUGGCUCCUCCAGGAGAGAGCUCCAACUCAGGCUCACUCAGCGAGCACAGUAUCAGGAAACCACCGAGGGAGGAACUCAAGGCAGAAACAUCCCCACUGCUUGGACUGCUUCACUAGUUUCUGUGAGCCAGAGCAGUUGAGAAGACACACUUGUAAAGACCGCAGCCACGGUGUAACAUGUCCUCCCAAACGGAAAAAGACUUCCAGCUCCUUCUCACCAAUCCUCCCACCAGUCCUCCCACAAUUGUCUUUCGUCAUCGUGUCAGCUAAUGGGGAUCCUAGUAAACAUGAAGAUAUAUCUGAUGAGAGCUUGAACCAGGCCGGGAAAACCAACAUCAAUCGGUAACCAUGUGGAUUUUCUCCUUGCUAACCAUUACACUCUGUCUCAGGAGGAGAAACUCUAGAUAAAGUCUCGGUCCCCCACCAGCCACCUGAUGUAGACAUAACACUUCCUCAACACAGAACAAAGGGAAAGGACUCGACCCGUCACAGGGCAGGUUCGUUCAACCCCUCGUGGUUCCAUAAGAAAUCGUGGCCUGACGGCGUCUCCAAAAAAAACAACCUUUUCUUCUUCCCGUGCCUUUUAUUCGGCAAAGACUUGGUCAACGGUGGGUUUCAAGGACCUGAAGCACCUCUCCGAAAGGAUUUCCAAACAUGUGAGUUGUUGGACUCAUCUGGAAAACGGAAUGAAACUGGAAUUUCUAGGGAAGACUUAACGCCGCUGGUCAGCUGGUCGGUGUAAACCCAAGCUCCCAUUGAGAUACACAACAGACAAACGGAGGAGAGUAGGUACGUUUCUGGGUAGAAACGUCAAAAGCUACGUUCUGUGCGGGAGACACAUGGCUGCGACGUGGCCGAGCGGCCUGGUCGAGUCGGAUUCCCUAAACACAUCCAUGUUUAAGUGCGUCUUUGAGACGAUGUGCGAGGGAGACUCCAGAGGCAUUGCGACGCUCACAGCUUCUCUAAGCACCCAAGAGGCUAUGUACAAAACCAACUGUUUGACUGUAUGCACGAGGUGUACAAAGAGGCGAUUACCAAGGAGGUGUGGGCGGCUAGCUUCGUAGCGGUGCAGGUGGACGGCAUGCCGUGGACAGGGGAGGUCUCCUCCAGGGUGAUAUUAUUUUUAUUUUUUAUAUAUAUAUGUUUUUUUUUAACCUUUUUUACAAGGCAACUCAGUUAAGAACAAAUUCUUAUUUACAAUGACGGCCUCGGAAAAGUGGGUUAACUGCCUGUUCAUGGGCAGAAUUGCCACUAACUACAGAUCUAGGAUCAGCUUCCCCAAUCCCACCAUUAGUGUGGAAAAUGCAAUACUGGCCCAAGAUCAGCUUCUUGGGCUCACAAUCUACUCCAGUACGCCACAGCAGGUCUCUGUCGUGCUACGGUACACGCUUCCAGACAAUACUGGCAUGGAGAGGUUUUGGGAGUUUGUGGACCUAAAGGAUAAAACGGCCGCCGGUCUCACCCAAGGCAGUCAAGACGUACGACGGGGCCACUGAAUCUGGAAGCUGAUUGGUCAGACGUACGACGGGGUCACUGAAUCUGGAAGCUGAUUGGUCAGACGUACGCAACCUGGAAACUCACCUGAAACACACCUAUCCCAGCGCUAACUCUGUGCACUGCUACGCUCGCCCGCUACGCGUCACACUCCAGCAGAUCUGCUCGGCGACAGCGACUCAACUCAAAAGUGUUUUUUUUUUUGUGUCUUUGUCUUUGUUUUGAAACUUUCUUCAAAGCUCAGCCAAAAGAGAGCUACAGCUGCAGGGAGGAACUGUUAGCGAGAAAUGGUCAGUGUGGUUUGGGAGAAUCGCAUUGCUCUUCAGAAGUGUGUGGAGGAUAUUAGGACACAGCCGAUGUGGGACCAGGACUCUAUCAGAGAGGCUUACGGCCUGUCAGCCAAACCCACGUUCCUACAACUACUGGAAUUUUUCUAUUUGGUCAUGCAAGAGGUGGAUGUUCUCACUGUCAACAUACACAAAAGGGACGUUGUCGUGGCGGACAUCGAACAGGCAGUUGAUAGUUUCGAGAAGUUCGUUCAAGCCCAACAGGGGAGAGCUGAGGCCACAGCACACGUAGGCCCCACGUCGGACAACGUCAAGAGAGAGACACAGAACUGCAGCGGUCAUGAGGAAGGCAUGUGACGUCAUCGUCACACAUGUGCAUCACAGGUUUUCUCAAAGUAGCGACCAUUUAAUCGCAGCCAAACUGGUGAAUCCCACACCCUUCUCUAAGUUCGUAGGCUGUUUCCCGUGCUUAGCCCUACAGUGUGCUGCCAAGCUGUGGUGGUUAACACUGGGAAGCUGAAAGAUGAAUUGACCUAUCUGUACUGACACACGGAGCACCACAGGGGUACAACAGCUCUGUCAUUACUGAAAACAAUCAGCGAGCUCAACCUCCAGAAUGUUUUGUCAGAGACGGUCUCUCUUCUCAAAAUCAUCAUCGCCACUCCCAUGCAGACCACCGAGUCUGACAGAAGGUUCCCCACUCUGAAGAGAAUCCAGGCGUUGCCGUGUUCUCGGAACACCUCGGGUUCCGCGGUCGCUUGGCAACAGAACAACGGCAGGCUCAAUGCACUGUCCAUGCUCGCUGUCGAGAAGGACUUCAUUCAAGCACUCAGGUCAGACUUUCUGGGGCGCUGAGUGUCCCAAAUGGUGCACCUUUCCCUCUGUAGUGCACUACAUUUGAACAUGGACCCUAUUUUGUAGUGCACUACAUUUGACCAUGAGCCCUAUGGGCCCACAAAAUAAGUCCAUAGACUCCAGUAGUAAAUAUUUUUUUAUACAUAAUUCAAAUCAGUAGAAGGGCUGGUUUGUAUUGACAUUAGAGUUCCUCACGGGUCCAGAUAUAUUGGCCAAGUUGCUCUAAUGGUUAUUUUUCCUUUAUUUAACUUUGCAAGUCAGUUAAGAACAAAUUAUUAUUUUCAAUGACGGCCAAGGAACAGUGGGUUAACUGACUUGUUCAGGGGCAAAACAACCGAUUUGUAUCUUGUCAGUUUGGGGAUUCGAAAUUGCAACCUUUCAGUUACUAGUCCAACGCUCUAACCACUAGGCUACGCUGCCAUCCCUGGUUAACUACUAGGUCUUUAUAUGUUGGCUAGGCCUUCUAUAAGUCAAUCAUUUCACCUGAUUGGCGUAAAAUAUAUAUGCUAUAGACUAUGCAGAGCCACGGUCGGGUCUAUUCGGAUCUAUCAGCUGUGGUUACGUAGACCCGAGAUCCGAUGACAAUCAAACAGGACCCGAGGGACAGGUUAGAAUUUCAGACCAGAAUGGGCCUGGGUCUCGGGUAUAUGAAGACCUCUAAUUGGCAUACAAAGUCAACAAUAUGAGUGUGUUGUUAUGUCACGAUCUGCUUGUAAACUGUGAAAUGUUGUCAACUAUCCUUCAACUGAAUUAUAAAUACAAACAGUUCCAACUGUCUGUGUGGCUCCUCUUCAUCACUGAAAGUGUAUUAUGUUGGUAGAUUGUCUUUAUUGAUGAUAAGUCAGUAUAGUAACAUGGUGAUA